This 570-nucleotide ribosomal RNA is filed under the name uncultured bacterium. Its description in RNAcentral is "bacterial SSU rRNA". It matches the Rfam family "Bacterial small subunit ribosomal RNA", at positions 8 to 620 of the family's 1533-position model. The record is from RNAcentral.
AGAGUUUGAUCAUGGCUCAGGAUGAAUGCUGGCGGCGUGGAUAAGGCAUGCAAGUCAAGGGGACCGCAAGGUAACCGGCAGACGAGGUAGUAAUAUACAGGUACGCACCGAAAAGUCGGGCAUAGCUAGCCGAAAGGUUAGGUAAUUCCCGAUAGUCCCUCCGGGGUAAAGGAGCAAUCCGCUUUUUGAGCGGCCUGUACCGCAUCAGCUAGUUGGUAAGGUAAUGGCUUACCAAGGCAAUGACGCGUAGGGGAGCUGAGAGGCUGACCCCCACCGAUAGCACUGAGACACGGGCUAUACAUCUACGGAUGGCUGCAGUCGAGAAUCUUCCGCAAUGGGCGAAAGCCUGACGGAGCGACGCCGCGUGGUUGAUGAAGUCCUUCGGGACGUAAAAACCUUUUAUGAGGGAGGAAGUUAUUGACGUUACCUCAUGAAUAAGGGGCUCCUAACUCUGUGCCAGCAGGAGCGGUAAUACAGAGGCCCCAAGCAUUAUCCGGAAUCACUGGGCGUAAAGGGUGUGUAGGCGGUCGUAUUAGUCUUUCGUGAAAGCUUUUGGGCUUAACCCAGAAA